RNA transcript from Gallus gallus (chicken), 11716 nucleotides. RefSeq lists it as uncharacterized. NCBI's taxonomy places the organism in Eukaryota, Metazoa, Chordata, Aves, Galliformes, Phasianidae. The record is from RefSeq and is a predicted model, not a curated record. The transcript is spliced from 17 exons.
GGGAGCGUCCCGAGCGGUGGAGGCGCGUGCAGCUCGCGGCGGGACGGGCGGCGUGUGGGGCUCGGCGGCGACGGAACGGCAACGGCCGUGCAGACCGGCAGCCCAGUUAGAAGUUCUGCAUGUGGGAGAGAGGUGCCCCAGUCUGAAGAUGCUCAACGAUGCUUCUGUACACGAGGCACUACUGAAAGAUGAAGUGGCUCUUUUAACAGUAAGGCAUAUAUAAUGGCACCCCAGUUUAAAGCCACUUGGUUCAGAGAGUGCAACUGUGAGAGCUGAACCCUCCCAAGCAGAGCAGUGUGGAGCAGAGGAAGCACUACAAACUCUGGAAGGACCCAGAAUAACUGUGCAUGCUUCCAAAAUGUUACCACAGCUGAGGUUCAUCCUUGAACUCUGGUGGUCUGGAACAACUGCCUUACCAGUUCUCUCUGACAGAUGUAGUCUGACUCAAUCACAAGCAAACUGUGCAACAGACAGAACAGUAUAUUUAACCCCAGAGUGUUCAUCAGAUGAAACAGGCCAUGGAAACAAUGACAUUUAAGUGCUACUUGUAAUCUUCAUCAUUGGCCACCUCAAGCUAUUUGCAUCUCCCUUCUGGCAGCUGACUGAGUGUAACUUUCCUGGGAAGAGCUGUGUACUAUUCAAGCCACAUCUAAAACUCAAGAGCUUCCAUUCAAGCUGGCCAGAGCUUCCUGCAUUCCCAUUUCCACUCCCUAGCAUGAGAUAAAGGACCUGCAGCAGUUCCCAAACUUAGCACUGGUACAAGUUCUGCCUGUCAGCCCACUGUACUGCUGCCUACCCAGGAAGACUUAUCAGAAGGGGAACGUUCAUCUCCUGCUAAACUGAUAUUUAGCUAUUGUAGAAGAAAAGACCGAAGUAAAAAAACUUAGAUUAAGCACAGUAUGUGCAAUGCAAUAAUAUGACAGAAAGUAUAGCAAUAAUAGCAGAGUGCCAAAGUCUUCAGCUACAGCAAACAACAACAAGCCCAAACACAGCAGCUAUGGAUACCGAAACAGAAGAACAAAUCUGCUUACCUUUGAAAGGCCUCAGGCAGGUAUGGAACUCCAGUGAGAUACUCUCACCUCCACUGCCAACCCUUAAAUGAGGUCUGGAUCCUGGCUCCACCCCUUCCAGUCACUCAGAUGCAUCGCACGCACCUGAGCUCCCCUGAGUUGGUCCUGCCUUCCCACCAGGUGCUCAAUUACUGGUUCAGGCCAUGACUUAGCAUUUCCACUACAGCAUGGCAGUCCAGUUAAAUCCCAUGGAUUGUGGAUUCUGAUAUAUUUCAUUCAGGAGUGCAGGUAGGAAUUGAAGAAUAAAUCCCCCUUUUAAUUUGAAUAUCAAAUGAAUGACUUGAGAAAGGACUGAUUGCUACUAAAGAUGAAAAUAUCACACAUUUGGGCUAAAAUCUGUUAUCUGGUACACUGAACUAUUUUGCUGUAUCUUGAAUUUAACAUGUAAAAUAGAAAACAGUGGUGAGAUCAUCAGGUCCUACUAGAAGGAAGCUCUCUAUUUAUAUUGUCCUCCUUGGCCACUGUGGGCAAACUGCAACAAGCCAUCCAGGAAGACUUCAGAAUUCAAGAAAACUUACGCAAUUCCAAAGCAUUCAAAUGAUAUCUCACUAAGGAAUAAAUGAAAAAGUCAUUUGUUCAACCACCCUCUGUACUUCUACAACCUCCCCCCACCUUCUGCAAUGUAUGAAACAGCAGUUUCAAAGAAGCAGCAUAAAAAACAAAGAAAAAAAUAGGUAAUGAACUUACUAAAUCCACAGGUUGGACAAGAAAAAAAUUAUUGCCUCUCUUCACAUAGAUAAAUAAAAGGAACGUGGUGAUACCUUUCCAAGAUGAAGAUAAAUGUCAUUUAAAAUAGAAAGCCCUUGACAGCUCCUAGGUUUCAGCUCUUGCUUCCAUCACCGAGGGAAAGAACUCUGAGCUGGUUUUACAACAGCAGAACAUUGUCUGGCUGAAGCAUUAUGACAGAAAGGGAUAGUAAUACAGCUGUUAAAAGUUUGCUCUCUUCUGUACUCAAGGAAUCCAUCAAAGAACUCUUCUAGAAGAAGAGCCCAUAUGCGGAGUAAGACAGCAUGAUGUAUGAAUCCCAUCGCUGAAAUCAACUCUUGGAUUCAACAGUGCCAUUUGAACGGACAAAACCAUUAUUUUCUUUAGCCAUUCAAGCAAGGGAAACAUACUAACUCAAUUGCCAGCAUAGCUACCAGAAGGAAAUUGUGUAUGCUUUUUAGUAUUCAAGACCUUGCUCUAUUGCCUUACUCAUAUGAAAUUCAGCAUCUCUUUUGAAAACAGCAAAACAAUGACUUUGUCUCCAUUUUAAUUUGGAAGGAGUCCAAAUUAAGCUAUUAUGAGAGAUAAAUGAUAUAAUGAGAGUUGCAUGCAAUUUACUGAAAAAAAAAAUGAACAAGCAAAAUGACCUCUCAAAUGUUUGCAUUUUUCUUUUUUGAACUUACUGAAAUUUUUAUGUUCUAGGUAGUGAAGUCAAGUUUCAUAUUCAGCUUUCCUGUUAAUGUUAACAUGUACAUGACAGGUUCCAACUAAGCAGAAAAAUAGGACAUUAGGAUGCCAACCUAGCGUUCCGUUAUUAUCAAGAAUAAAUGAACUCAACUUAAACAGAGUUUCUAUAUUAACUAUUUCCAGAAUACACUCCUAUGCAGAACACUGUCUCGUAGGAAUUUGACUGGCAAAUAUCAGAUAUUCUGGCACUGAAAAGAAAAUCUGAGAACCUUUGUUACUGAAGCUGUAGUGGUGAACAAAAAUAGACUGCAAGCACUGGUGGAAACAUGGGCUACAGGGCCCUGUGAUCACAAACCUUCUGAGCAGGAAAGUCUGCCCGCUUAUAGAAAAGGUCAUCUUCAGUUUUGCAGCUCCAGGCUUUUAAUCUUAAGUAAGCCAAUCAGAUCUGAAUUAAGUGAUGAACGUAUUAUGUUAAUGAGCAUAAUUAUGCUAAUGAACAUUCCUUCAAGGAAUCUUCAUUCUUGAUUCAUUAGUUAGAUGUUACCAUCUGAAACCAAUGGAAAAUGUUUUGAAAAACUCAAUUAACCCCUCUGGGGUAAUCUUAAGACCUUAACAGACUGUCUUCCAGUGCUACCUCUGUUAUUUAUUCCCAGAUUUGUCUGUAGUCAUCAUUUCACUCAGAGUCCUCUGCCUUUUUAAACUUAUUUUUCUUCUGACAGUUACUUCAACCCUGCCGGAAAAACAAAACAAAACAAAAAUCUAUAAUCAUGUUUUAUUACUGCACUGCAGGCUCUGCAAUCCAGAUCCCAACAGUAUCACCUUCUGAACAAGCAUGGGAAAAUGCUAAAACAGCAGAAAAGUUGUCAGAGCCUGCCUGCACUAUUGACUAACCAGAGACUAGCUUGGGACAGGCACUAUCCAGCCAGCAAAUAGGCAGCUUUCUGCAGUACACUGUGUACUUCUUAGGGAUGGCACUUACUGUUUGGUGCCAGUGUGCUCCCGUGUUACAUUCCUGGUCCCACACAAUUACAUGUGUAUCUAAGGUUGCACUUACACUCCCACCUGUUAAGGUAACACACAGGAAGUAUCAUGGUAAGCUAUUAACAGCACAUGUUUUUACAGGACAGUAGCCUAUUUGUUCAGAUGAAUUCAAGUCACUUAAAAGUUAUUCCAUCCAUGGCUGGUAUUAAUAGCAUCCACACGUGUAACAUUUAUAUCAGUGGACAUAAAUCAGCAUCAGUCUAUUAAAUUCAAAACCACAUCAUUUCGGCUCAGCAGCUGACACUACAGGCUUACAAAAGAAACACUUAACAUAUACUUUUCCAUGAUGAAACGUGAGAAUAUGUCUAUUGAUGGUUACGUGUUCUCUACAAGAAGCCUCUCUGAGCCUUAAGGUUUACUUUCCAUAAUCAGCAGCACCUCCCCAGUGGGUUUUUAAUAUGUUUUAUCAGCUUAGAGUUCCUGAACAUCACACUUGCAUGUGGAAAGGCCAGAGAAUUGCCAGCUCUCGAUCAGCUGCAGUGAAAGCACAGCUUUGUAGUCCCAAAGCCCUGACUAUACCUGGGAGUGCAUACAUGGUAUCUGAUUGAAGUUACAGGUGUUAUAAUUCUCCUCUUGCCAGUGGGUCAUUAUUUCACUCCAUCAAAAGAGAAAAAUAAAACAUGUGAAGAACUCUGCAGUGACCUGCUUAGUCCCACAGAGGUCACAGUAGAGACUGAUUUAUGAUGACUGACAACUGCCUAUGAUUAUGAAAAUUGCUAGCCAGGACAGCAUAUAUUACUGAUGCCUGCUGAAUAGGGCACAGAGAAAUCAUUUUCCCUUUUAGUAUUCCUAAAGGUUUACUGUUCUUAGCUUUAUUCAAAGAAACUUAAGACCCGAGGAAAACAAUGCUGUGUAUAUAAACAGGGCAAACAUUAUGCUGUUAUUUAAAAAUGUCAGCCUGAUACUUGAUGUAAGGUUCUGACUUAAUAUGUAAGGCAAAACAAAUGAGUUUGAAAAUCUCUGUUUAGUGGUUUAGAAAAUGGGAUCUGAGAUUGCUUUAAAGAAGGUCAUAAAGACCUCUCAACCUCUCCUUUUAUUUAUGUUUUCUCAAAUAUAUUGACUGGCUUGAUGGUGCACCACAGACAAAUAUCUACAUGCUUCACAUAAUGAAACAGUGUCAUUACCUUAUCUGGACAAACUCCCAGUGUAAUUGCAACCAAAGUAAAACAGCUCUGAGACUGCAAAGAAGUGUCAAAACAGGAAAUACAAUAGCAUAGACCUGAGAUGUUUUCCAUUUGCAGACUUUCAUAUAGGUGUCUUUUUUCAUACUUUUAGCCCUAUAUUGGAAAGCAUAAUUUGAUGAUAGACGUGAAACUGUGUAUUAGUUUUUAUUUUGACAAAUUCAUUAGACAUCACAUAGCUUGAAAAAUGAACCAGGAGGCACUAAGUCAGCCUGAGAAGAUUGUACUUCAUAAACUGAAUUGCUCACAUGGGCAACAUUUUGGUGGAAGUUAUAGAUUUUCUAGCAUAUCCCUGAUAGAUAGCACUAAUAUAACUUCAAUAAAAACUCUGGAUAUGUCAAUAUAAAAUUUUUUCAAGCAUCGAAAGAUGUAAGAUACUUCAGCUAAUAAAUUGGAAGAUUCCCUGUUCCUCAAGGUACACUAACUUACACAUCAGAUUAUAAAGAGUAUUGAAGCCACACAGAGUACAGCAGGCAGCUGUAGGUUUGCUGCUUUUAGAAGUUGCACUAAAUUGAAUUAUCAAUAUAUGAAAGUAAUAAUUGGAAAUUAAGAUCUAGAUGACCCUUUUUGUAAAAAUGUUAGCAUUCUUCAAUUUUUAACUGUUAGAUGAUAGACAAUUUUUCAUAGCUGACAUGACUGAUAGACUGUAUUUGAUGCAAAUAAUUGAUGUUCCUUCUCUCUCUUCCUAACACAUGACCUUUCACUUACUUCCUUAUAUUGUUACCACUUCCAGAUUGAUAUGGUAUUGGAAAUGCAAAUGGUUAUCCUUCUUCUGAAAAAAACCUUACAGAACCUGAUGUAAGACUUCAUUGGUUACAACUGUAUGGGACAGGAUUGUGUAAUAAUUAUUUCCUUUUGGAUGAACUCAGAAAACAAGUCAGUGGAUGAUACUAUACCUGUUUCCAGACAAAUACUUGUGAGCAUUCCCAACCUGUUAAAAGGAAGCAAUUAUGGUAGAGGACCAGACUACAUGGAUGACCUGAACCUUGCUCACAACAGAUGAGAAAAAAUGACAUUUUUCUCCUUUCUGAAAGACUUUUAUAGCUUGUGAAAAGGAAACUUCAAGGAAGGUGGGGAGAUUGAAGGCUGGACUGGUACGUAUGGGAGGUACAGACUGGUAGGAAUGUGAGACCUUAAAAGUGCCAACAAUAGGACUCACUGUGUUAACACAAUUGAAAAGCCAAAAAUGUCAAAUUGAGAUGUGUUAGUACUAAUAAAUAUAUACAUGUAUGUAUUUACGUAUAUGCAUAAAUAUAUAUAUAUAAACCAUAUCACUCAUGUUGACAGAAAAAGUAGGCACUUGUAUGUGAGUGCGCAUGCACUGGCAAAACUGCAUCUGACAAAACAGGCACACGUUUUCUGGGGUACCUUUUAGUAGGCGAAAACUUCAUCUGUUACAUCAUGAAAGAAGUUGCCACCAAUUUAAAAUUUAAUCUCAAACUGAUGCAAAAAUAGUCCAGUUAAGACUUUAAGGGUGUUACUCAGAAAUUGCAUUUAUUGGGCUGACUUGCUAAAGCAAAGUGAAAAUAUUUCCUAGAUUUAAAAUCUAUACAAAUUAUUUUUGACAUUACAACAAUUAAAGAUUUGUGCAGAUGUAAAAAAGGAGUAAUUGCUGAACAUUUCAUGCAAUCCAUUUUCCAGCAAUUCCUAUGAGGAAUGAUAUGUUCCUUGCUGAUUAUGGGCUGUGAGUAUGACCAGCCGGUUUCUUCAUUCUAAUUUCUCAUUGCUGUGUGUUUCUCUCACAAACCUUCACAUCUGCCUUAGUCUUGCUGCCCACUAGCAUAUGGUGCACUUGUGUUCUAGUUCAGAACAAGAAUAAAGAGUUUUUUUUCCUUUGAUACAUUUUGUUCACCAGAACUGGAAGCUCUUCCUUUUCUAUUGUACUACACCUGUAAUGAUCUCAGAACAUAUCAAUUGUCUUAAAGUUUUUCCUUCUUGAUUUAGUUAUGUUGUGAUAUCUCUUAUCUCCUAUCCUAAUCACACUAAAAUUAUCUAAGAACAGUAUAUAAAAAAGGACAAUUUCAGUUUUCUUCUAUACUGAAAGUAUUUGUAGGUCUGCAUGAACAAGCCUUGUCAGUAUCCUCCAUGGACUGAUUUGCCAUACUAACGUAAGAAAGAGUCCAAGUAUCUUUACUUACACAGUUAGGUAAAUGGAAUUUGAUUUGAUUUGCAAAUUCAAUGCAAAAUGGAUAUAUCUGAAACUUAAUUCUACUUCUACCUACUUAGACCUAUAGGAAAAUAAGACUGAAUGUAUAAAUAGGGUUUUACCAGUAUGUUUUAAUGUCUGCUCAGUCACUCAUAAUAAUGAUCAACAUGUUGAUUCUGACUAAAUGAAGCUGAAAAUCAGAUUUUCCCAAUAUAUCACAUCAGCAUACACAUCUGCUGAUCAGUGUUAAUUAGUCCUGUAUUUUCCAAUUUGUAAUCUGUGGAUGUUUUAUGGGGAUGUAAAUAGUAACAUAUUAGCAUUUAUAAUCUUUCUUUGGAAAGCUUAUGCUGAGCAAGUGACCAAUAAAUUGCAGUUAACGUAAACAUUAAUCAAAUUGAAUGCCAGUAUGGAAAGAGUCUCAAGUUUAGAGGGAAAAAUCAACUUUCUGUCAUGUAUUUUAUUGCUGAAGUGUAAUUAAGUAAGAUCAUGACGAUCUCUGAAUAUUCAAUGACAAAUAGAUAUAUUUGUUUCAAGAUCUGUGUGCCAUCCUGAAGCGCUAAUCACUUGACCAUUAGAGUGAAUGGAUGCCACUCAAUCUACAAUGGUGAAUUAAAUUUCCAGUGGUUGGAUGAAAGAAUAAAAAGAGAGAGAGAAAAAAUGCAUAAAUGAGUAUGAAAUGUUGUAAUAUGAGAGGUUAGUAUAUAAAGCCACAAAGUGAUGAGUACUUCACAGAAAUGUAAUGACCUACAUUUGGCCUAAACAAGCUAUUGUAUGACCAUAAAUGUACCAUUAUUUUGAACAAAUGAAGAUUGCAGAUAUAGUAGGUAAACAACAAUAAAUAUAAAACACACAAUCUGUUGUCAUGAGCAAAGAAAGUAUUUAAAUAUCAGUGCUGCUCUGCACUGCAAUAACUUUAUAUAUAUAUUUUUUUUCCCUCCAGCAUUUAUCUUGCUCUUAUAUGAUAUGCUUUUCCUCAAAAACAAACAAACAAAAAAAAAAGCCACAAACUACUGAAAGAAGUGAAGCUAAAACAGAGUAUUUUUAUGGAUUUCCUAGAGUGCACAUAUACAACCUGGAAUGAACGUACAGAAGGAAUGUUUAUCUUUAAGUUUGGCCAGGAAAAUGAAGAAUUGGAGAAUGGCUCACAGAGAGCUCAGUUUGAACAAAGGAAUUUCUCAAAUAAGUGCUUGCACCCAUCAAGGAUAAACACAAAUAAAACUUCUGGAAGUUACCAGGCCAGUUAUCUAUUUGGAGACUUGGUUAACUUUGAGCACUAUAUACAAAACAUAUGCUACCAAUCAUGCAAGUCACAGACCUCUGAUGAGGUGAAACCACAAUUUUUCAUACGUAAGUAUGAUGAAAGAGGUAAGUUUCAACCAGCUAAAGUGCCCGUGAAUAAUAACUUUGUAACAAGAAAGAUUAGGCCUGACAUGCAAACAUCUUUUUGUAAAAAGAAACUUUUUGAUCAAGCUGUGAAUUUAAAUGCAAUAACUGAAAAAAAAAAAAAAAGAAAGAAAGAAAAAAAAAAAGAUAAUAGAGGAAAAAUUUGUACAAGUUGCAAAGACCAUUCUCUCAAAAGGAGAAAAAGAUGAAAUGAAAUUGCCCUGUAUUCCCUGUUAACAAUUUUCUCUCCAACAUAUCUUAAGUUAACUAGCCUGAGGUAUAUCCUGUGGACACAGCAAUGACUGCAUGCACACCGUGUGCGCUCAAGAAUAGCAAGUAAGUAUGAAGUCGUGGAGUUAGUAAGGACUAGUAAGGACUUCACCACUAGGCCUGAAAAAAUGAAGAGAUCAUUGUGAUGUCCUUAAGGACCUCUCCUUAAGGACCUGACAGCCUGAGGCAGAUAGGAAGGACAUCACACUGAUGAGGUAGAAGUGUUUGUGAAAGCCCUAACAAUGUUUUUAUUUUUUUAUUUUUUAUUUUUAUUUUUUGCUUUUUACAGGAGAAACUAUAAGCUCAUUAAGAAAUGAUAAUCAUUCUGUUCCUCUCACAUAACAUGGAGAACUGUACAAGAUGGAAGAAUAUUAAGAGCUAUCACAGAGUACUAUACUCUAAUGAGGAAAGCUCAUGCUUCAAUUUCCUGAGUUUGACCUCUGAAAAGGCACUGAGCCUCUAGGAAUCAAGUGUGCUACAAACCAGCAUAAGGGCUGCAGAAUUUGAUGAAUGCAAGACAGAAUGGAAGCAGAAGAGAAAGUACGAUACGAGGAGGCGAACAGCUCUGGAGUACUGAGCUCAGCAGGCUAAAUACUACCGCCCUGAUAAGCAAUCUCCAAAGAACAGAACUUGCACUAGUGACGUUGUUGCAAGCAGACUGCAUGUUUAGAACAAAGACUUUCCACAACGCUGCCUUGUAGACAAAUUAGUAAUAUAUGAAUCAAGAACAGAAAUCUUGUAUUUCAGUUGGCUGUCUUCAGAAACUGCUACAGUAAUUGCACGCAUUUUGGUUUUCAUCAUUUCACUCAGUAACUUCUAGGCUAAUAGCCUGCAUUUCCAAGACCAACACAGACAACAAAUCCACCACUCAAAAUGAAUUUGAAAGUGCAGCUUUAGGAAAGAUAAAAGCUUCCGUUCUCAAGCAGAGUUUCCGAGAGAAGCAGAUCUGAAAGCAGCUGAAAGCACCCAGUGGAGUCUAUCCUACAUUGAAGAAAGGUGACAACAGGAAGAGUGGCUUUCUUGUGUAACACCCAACCACAAUGCUUACAAAGAAUUAUUCACACCUACAUCUUUAAAAUUACAGUACGUAGACUUUCACAGCUCUCGUACAGCAAAGACUUCACUAAAUAUUUCAACAUGGUUAACAUAAAAGGUGUAUUUGACCCUAACUCUGCUAACAAAAUUUGCACAAAUCAAACAGUGCAAUUAUAUUUAAGUGAUCCUUACUCAUGAUCCAUUACUCCAUCAAUCUGAUUCAGAAAGUAGGAUUUCUCAGACACAAAUCUGACUAAGAACACAGAACUGAGCUGCUGAGUAUACCAUAUAUAAGAAGUCUCACAGAAAGAGGGUAUUAUGACGGUUAUAAAAGGCUACAAAGACAACCAAAGGCAAAUUCUUUGAAGCCUAUGACUUAUAACCCAGAAUUAGAAAUACAGAAUAUUUAAAGCUCAAGCUGUAUUUGGAUUUGGUAGGCAUUCAGCUCCAGUCCCUCUGAUGUUACUUUCUGUGCAGACCUGAAGAUUUAUUUCCAGUUAUUAGUAUAGAUUUUUUAAAAUUAAAUUUUCUCUGAAAAGAUUUUAAAUUAAAGUUCAGUCUUCUUGCCAUCACCUUGGAGGCUCUACAUAACUCUGCUCCUUCCUUUUCAGCUAAUUUAGUAUGCUUUCUCAACACCCUUCACCUAUGGAGCUCCAAAGGCAAUUUAAGAUGAUCAGAGUCCACUUCUGCCAAAACCACUUCCACAUUCUUACCUUCCCCUUCUUUCAAUGAAUACACUCGGGGAGCGAGUUCACCAGUAUUAGCGUCCCGCCACUACAUUCAACCUGAAGGCUCAGAUUUUUGCAUUGCCUCUUCAGUUACAGAACAAGUUGUUCAGAAUCCUCCAUUUAUCCAUUUAUCUCAUUAUGUCUUUCAGAUUUCACCAAGUUAGGCAUUGUUUUCAUUCUUGCACAGUCAAGUCGCUAUGACUGAAAUAACGUUUGCUGAAGGAAGUGAUUCCUAUUCCACUUAAUAUUGUACAUUACUUUUAAAAACAACAAAAAGACAGAUAGGAGCUUAGGAUAAAUUCCUGAGUUGCUCAUAUUCUGUAAAAGCUAGUUCACCUAUUUCUAAGAGCAACUAAAAACCUGUUUCUUGAGAGUUACUAAGCAAGACUGGAAUUAAAUCUUUGUGAUUUAUUCUAGUACUGUUCUCUGUUGUGUCGUCCAUAUUUUCAGAAGUUACAUGUAAGAAUUCUUUAUCAGAGAAAAGGAAAAUACAACAUGAAUACAUUAGCAUUUCCAGGACUGAAAGAUUGUUCUGAGACCUCCUGUUAUCCAGAGAUAGUGCACCACUAUGAUUGAAAGAAAGUCCCACAGAUACUGUUAACUGAAAGUAGACAAAACUUCCCUACCCAAGGCUCAGUGAGUAACCCCACCUGAUGUAACUUAAACUUCACAGGAGUACCUGAAACAUCUCUGAUUGGAAUUUCUUGAAGGAACUUCAUAGCAUGGAUUCUUGGUGUUCAUAGGAAGCCUGACAAUCAAAACCUGAUGUUUACCAUCGUACUCAGAAUUAAACACUGCUCUUCCACUUCUUCAUGAGAAAUCUUUUCAAGCUGUUGCACCAAGUAGCUGAUGUAAUUACAUUUACACCAUUUUCUUUAUCCAAUUUUCUCACUGGGCAACCGUAUGCCAUGCAGCUUCAGGAGGCAAACAGAAAGAAAGGCUCUGCAACCUCUUUGACAGACUAUUCUUUUGGCAAACACACUGCACUAACAUGAAGUGUCAGGAUAUCAAAGACUCCCUGAGGAGUUCAGCAAGCAUAUCUAAAGAAAUCCAAAGGAGCGAUUACGAGUCCUUUUCAAGACUGCUAGACCCUUCUUCAAAAAAACUGAAGGCUAAAUAAAGAGUCAGUUGCUUAUCCUGAAUAACCUUCCUGAUAAGGAAAUAAAAGGGAAUGAAGGAUAAAAGAUAUUGCAGUUAAAAAUAAUUCUGUACAAUCUGUGAUAAUAUUUCUACAUAUAAUUAGUAUUUAAAAAUAGAGUGGGUCUGCUAACAUAUUUAGCUAUUUUAUACACAUAUUUAAGAAACACAAAUGUUCCUUCAUUCUCCAGGUAUAUCUGUAGAGGAGAAAUGUGAAACAAAUUAAAAACUUGAUAUUUAGACUUAUCUACUGUGAUAAAUCUGAAUGUUUUCAAAUUCAUAUAUAGUUAUUACUGCAUACUUAAAUAAUACCCAACGUGUACAUCUCUAAGA